Molecule: long non-coding RNA, 678 nt
Filed under: Coffea arabica (coffee)
Lineage: Eukaryota; Viridiplantae; Streptophyta; Magnoliopsida; Gentianales; Rubiaceae
Description: long non-coding RNA (CARA_LNC001954)
Source: RNAcentral
CAAAUACCACGAUACUCGAAAGUAAACCUCAAAUACUUAUCAAUGUUGUUGUAGAAAAGGCCACUGUGAAAGAAUGCGACCACCACCUCCAGGGCCAGGCUUUCUUGGUGGUUUGUGCAAUUGCAUAGCAUCUUGGUUAGUGGUGACUACACUGCAUUCAGACGUGGGAAAUGAGUAUAUUUGUUACAACACUUCUUGGUGAUGUCAAAGUUAAUGCAUUACAUUCAUUCUUGUAUGGCUGAACAUUGACAUUUACUCUUAAAUCUCAAUGGUCUUGAUUCUUGAAUGUGCUUCUAAUCUCGUUGUUGUAAAGGAUUCAUUGGUCAGUUUGCUAUUAUCAAUAUCUUCUUAAUUUUUAUUGGUUGGGUUCCAAAAUUUCAUAUAUUACCACCUAAUAUGUGUCUCGUGUACAUCUUGCAACUUGAAAUUGCAGUUUAAGUAUCUUGUGCUGCUGCUGGUAGCUACAAGACUGCUUUGGUGGUCCAAUGCGGCCGCCUGGACCAAUCGGACCGCCUCGGCCUUGAUUAUAAGCUGCUUCUUCAACCUUGCUGAUGCCUCCUGCGUUUACAUGAUUUAUAAUCUACCAGGAAUACCUAAUCAUGUUGUUCUACUGUUUUGAGUGAUAAUGGGGCAACAAUCUUACUUUUGUUAUUAUUAUUAUUACUACUUAGAAAAAAU